This 26-nucleotide non-coding RNA is filed under the name Mus musculus (house mouse). The record is from RNAcentral. Lineage: Eukaryota; Metazoa; Chordata; Mammalia; Rodentia; Muridae.
UGGUACUGGUAACGGGACCAUGAUGC